CUCAACUGACACUAUUAAUGGCAACAAGCUUUUCCACUACAGAAGUGGCAAUGGCUGUAUUAUUCAUAAGCUAUAUACACCCAAAUGUUCUUGAUAAGAUUUUGGUUUAUUUUCCCAUGUAUCAUUUAUUUGUAAGAUAAAAUUUUAUGUAUUUAUUUUUGUCAGACAAACAAUCUUAACUAGCAUUUUCUAUUCUUCUUUCUGCUGACCACUAUGUAGGGACCAGUAAAAAGAAGCUGCAGGACUCUUGACCAGGCACUGCUCCUCCACUCACUACUCUGCUUAGCAGUACCUCUUCACAGAUAUGGCUGAACCUCAGCCCCACCCUCCAGACUCUCCACUCAGAAUGAGGAGCCACAAUUAUCUCAUACCAGACAACUCCUGUGAAGUACUGGUACUGCUAUCCAGUCUGUCUAGCACCUCAGUCAUCUGAUUAUUUGUCAAUUGCUCUAUAAAAAAGGGAGAGCAAUGUCAUGAUGGAGUCUCUUCCUUGGAAUGCAGACAUACGUUACGCAUCUUAGAGAAAACUCUCGUGUGAGGACUGUGUGAUGCUACUGAAAAUCAAAAGGCCUGUGGUUUCUAUUCUUAUGAAACCUUGGCUGCAGAGUUCCUCAAUAAAGUGUAUUCCUGUUCUUCAA
Molecule: non-coding RNA, 638 nt
Organism: Macaca mulatta (Rhesus monkey)
Lineage: Eukaryota; Metazoa; Chordata; Mammalia; Primates; Cercopithecidae
Source: RefSeq, a predicted model, not a curated record